UACGUAGGGGGCAAGCGUUGUCCGUAUUCAUUGGGCGUAAAGGGUGCGUAGGCGGCGCGGUAAGUCGGGUGUGAAAUCUCGGGGCUUAACUCCGAAACUGCAUUCGAUACUGCCGUGCUUGAGGACUGGAGAGGAGACUGGAAUUUACGGUGUAGCGGUGAAAUGCGUAGAUAUCGUAAGGAAGACCAGUGGCGAAGGCGGGUCUCUGGACAGUUCCUGACGCUGAGGCACGAAGGUCAGGGGAGCAAACGGG
Molecule: ribosomal RNA, 253 nt
Filed under: uncultured bacterium
Lineage: Bacteria
Description: partial 16S ribosomal RNA
Rfam family: Bacterial small subunit ribosomal RNA
Source: RNAcentral